GCCCUAGGACUGGCAUCCUUAAGGCAGCGGAACCUGUUUGAGGGAGUUCUGCAGUUAUGGGAACCAGGGAUCAAAUAACCCCCCAGGGACCUCAGCCCCGCGGAAAACUCCUUCCCUGGAGCUUGGAGGGAGCCACGCCCCCCAGCUAAAGCCGCAGCUACGCCGUCCUGUUUCCCCCGGAGGGUUUCCGGUUGAGACCUCACUAUGAGGACACAAACACGUUUUUUUUGGAUAAGGGUCGCCGACAGUCCGGUCCCCUGUCCUCGGGAAGUUUGGGGUUGGACGCCUAAGAACAGUGCGCGCCGCGCGCACCGAGUGACCGUCCGGAUCCCGGGGGCGGCUAGCCCACACCUAGUGGAUGCCCGACGCGUUUGCCGGCUGAACCAAUGGAACUCGCCACCGCAAGUGCAGAGGCCGAGUCCCGAGAGGCGGCUCAAGGUUCCGACCGAGGACGAGGAUGAGGCUUUGGGCGCUGCUGUCCUAGGACAGCGAGGACGUAGCCCAUACAAUGGCCCUAGAGUCGGAUCUCACCUCAGGGCUGCUCUGCCAACAGUCAUGAGUGGCCUCUCGCCAAAAGCCAAAUAUGUAAAUAAAAGUAUCUUCCCGAGGCUGUCCUGGAGGCCUCCUUGACUGUAUAGUGACCGUCCUGUGUCCGACGAUAGGCAAUCCUGGGCCAGGUCUGGUUAAGAGGCAGGCAAAGAAAUCGGGGUUUUUACCCUGUGAGUUGGGCAGCCUGGAGCUUAUUAUUAAUUGCAAGUAAAGCAUCUUUUUUUUUUUAAUUGCAAGUAAAGCAUCUUAACAUGUUUUGA
Molecule: non-coding RNA, 809 nt
Organism: Odocoileus virginianus texanus
Lineage: Eukaryota; Metazoa; Chordata; Mammalia; Artiodactyla; Cervidae
Source: RefSeq, a predicted model, not a curated record